GGGGCCGCCCCGCACGCCCGGGGCGUCCCAACGUCUCAUUGCGAGACGGGGCGCACCCAGAGCGUACACGCUGGGACCCGAAAGAUGGUGAACUAUGCCUGGUCAGGACGAAGUCAGGGGAAACCCUGAUGGAGGUCCGUAGCGAUUCUGACGUGCAAAUCGAUCGUCGGAACUGGGUAUAGGGGCGAAAGACCGAUCGAACCUUCUAGUAGCUGGUUCCCUCCGAAGUUUCCCUCAGGAUAGCUGGCGCUCACAGAGUCUCAUCUGGUAAAGCGAAUGAUUAGAGGCAUUGGGGUCGAAACGGCCUCAACCUAUUCUCAAACUUUAAAUGGGUGAGAUCUCCGGCUUGC
RNAcentral lists this ribosomal RNA (350 nucleotides) under Hydraena cf. rhinoceros IBE RA319. RNAcentral describes it as "eukaryotic LSU rRNA". It matches the Rfam family "Eukaryotic large subunit ribosomal RNA", at positions 741 to 1090 of the family's 3401-position model. The record is from RNAcentral. Lineage: Eukaryota; Metazoa; Arthropoda; Insecta; Coleoptera; Hydraenidae.